Molecule: long non-coding RNA, 3190 nt
Organism: Dermochelys coriacea (leatherback sea turtle)
Lineage: Eukaryota; Metazoa; Chordata; Testudines; Dermochelyidae
Exons: 3
Source: RefSeq, a predicted model, not a curated record
AUUUUGAAACCAUCCUGACAAUCUGUCCUAGGUUUUUACAGUUUAAGAAUCUUAUUUAUAUCUUAUGGUUUUUUGCUCUCAAAUUAGAAUUUUAUCUUCCCACCCCUUCUUUCUUACUGAAGCAUUUUGAGGCAUAUAUGGGAAGCUGAGUGGAAAAAAGUCCUACACAGGACCUUCCCUUACUCUAAAAAUGUUCCAUACAAUUAGUGCAACAUUAUAUUGCAGUCUGAGCGCAAUCUGCCCUUAUUUGCAUGGGUGUAACUCCUGUUGUAUGCUUGUGUAACUUGUAAAUUAGGUCCUAUGUACAUGUUACUAUCAGGGAGCAGUUUUGGUCUAGUGGAUUGAACAGGGGGAUGAAAGACAGCUGACAUGGCUUUAUUCAUGAUUCCCACUGAUUUGCUGUGUGACCUUAGACUCUUUGCCUCACUGUCCUCAGCUGUGAAAUGGGGAUAAUGAAACCCACCAGGGGGAAGUGCUUUGAGAUGUGUGGAUAAAGCACAUUAGCAAAGUGCAAAUUGUUGUUCAUGGAAUCAUAGAAAUGUAGGGAUGGAAAGGACCACAAGAGGUCAUAUAAUCCUUCCCACCUCCCCCAUGCUGAGGUAGGACCAAGUGUACCUGUUGUUAUUAGUAAUUACUUUUUUCUUUUAUGUAUCUUCUGCAGAAUUUGGUUUGUGAUGCUUCUAUCUAAAGGUUUUUUAAAUUAAUCCUUUUAUUAAGACUCUCUUAAAGAGUCUUAGGUCAUAACAUCCCUUAUAGAAAAGCCCUAUAGAAUUUAAUAGAGAACAAUAUGCUUCUAAUUUUUUUAACAAUACGAUCAUAUAGAAUAGUUCAAAAAACCUAUAGAGAGGCUAUUGGUCCCUAUUAAGUUGUCUGAAUCUUACACAUAAUUUUGCAGACCCCUAUUAGUUUCAUCUCUACGAAGUUCUUUAGAACUUUUCCAUAAGGAAUACAUAUACACAAACAAACAACUUAUCCCUAUGAGGUUUAUAAGUACCUCUGCAGUGAUGCAGAAAUGAUACUGCUGUGUAAUGCUGUACCUUACUAGUCAUCUCAAUUGACUUAAAAUAGAACAUUGCUUAAUAAAAUCACUGCUGCAGAAAUCCUGACAGGAGAAGAAAAUGCCAUUUACAUCAAUAGACAGUUUUUGCAGCAAAGCAAAAAGCCAGAGGGAAUGGGAAAACCUAUGCUUCAAACCAUUCAAAUCCUUUCUAAUGGAGUGGAAUUGUUUUUCUAUGAGAUUUUUUGUUGCCUCUUUAAAAUUGCACUAUCGGAUCUUGCUAAUUCCAAUAUCAUUACUUGCAAUUGUUUUAAAAACAAUAGUUUGGGUAAGGAUUGGCUCAAUAUGUCUCCAAUGUCAGCAUGCCAGGCUCCUGCUGCAGAGAUAAUGCAGACAUAAUGUAACCAAAUUAUCCUCCAGCAACUCCUCCCAACAUUUUGUUGCAAGGGUAGAAGGAAAACUGCCAAGAGCUGUACUUUAUCCAGCCAAUUUACUCUCUCUCCCCCUCAUUUUGAAAUGCAACAAAACCAAUGUCUCUGCCAGCUGGUUAGUGAAUUUUGCACCACCACCACCAAAACAAAAACAAAAGAACCACGUUAUCAAAAGUACCAAAAUAUCAGACACUCCAAAUACAGUCAAGGUAGGCUGCCUCCAAGAUGGCAGAACUUUGUUACUAAUGCCAUUCAGCCGAUCAACCUAUGGAAGCCAUACUUUGGGGAGGGACUGGGGAAUUACCUCUUUGCCACGUGGAUUUAUAUGUCUUGAUGCUUUUCAUGUGUAUGUUUGAAAUAUAUAAUAUAAUAGUCUAGGCUGAAUUAAAAUUGUCUUCCCACAGGGCCGCCCUUCUCGAUGGGUCCUACUUUCAUUCAACUUUGAGGAGAGAAUAUCAAAACAGCUCCCUUGCCUCGAUCAGACAGAUCCACCUUUUACUGUUUGCUAUUUUGCUUCUGAGGAGUGAAGAAGAAAAUGGGAGAGAACACAGCUGAUUCCUUCAUCCUGAACUGAUACGAAAGCCCCAGUCCUGCAAUUGGAUCAGCAUGGGGAGACCCUUGAAGACAAGGUGCUCCAAUUGGGGCCAGUACUCUGCCUGCAUGGAUCUGAGUAGAAGAUACUAGUUCCAGUAUAACCAUGUUGCUCAGCUGUACUUAUUGCAAAGCUCUUGUGCUGCUGUCACUGCCAGACGCUGUGAUCCCUCGGAGGAGCAGGGUGUGGAUUCACAGAACACACAGCAGGAGUUAAAGCUGCUUCAGGUUGCGUGAGCUUUACACAUUUUUCUGUCCAUUAUGCCAUUGUCAUAGGGAGCAAGAGGAGGGGGGUAACCUCCUAUUUGUCUCAGCAACUCACCCCUUCCUGGCCUGGCCCAAUCCAUUAUUUCUGCACAAGGGAAAUGCAUGUAUUCAAAGGGGUGGGGGAGUGAGCAUCUCACCAAAUAAUUCAAGUCCCACAGCAAAGCUCCAUGUGGCUGUACCCAGUGGAUUUGCUCCUGUGCACACACUGUACAGUGUAGGGAGUGUAGAGGCCAAAGGAAGUAAUAGAAAGUGAAACAAAUCUCUUCUUCCCCAAAUGGGCAAUUGGAAGGCUUGUCUAUUUCCUUCAAUGGGGACCAAUAACUUGAUCUGCUUUGUCCCUUUCAUAUCUGCUGUUUGGAACAAUAAAGUGUCUAUUCAGGCACAAACAUCUGCCUUAGUUUGCAUCCCCUUGAUAAUGCAGAAGAUAUGGUUAAAUGCCACUCAUCGAUCUGUAUUGAUUGGUUCUUACAGCAUUUUAGAAACCACUGGAAUAAUACUUGUCAUUACUCUCCAUGGCGUAUCUCAUCUGAUAAUUCUUUCUUUUUCUUUAAGUGAAAGAACAUUGCAUUUGUAUAUGCUUUGUUGGGCUAUAAUUUCCAGGUGUUUUACAGACCAUUUCGCCCCAAAAACUCUUUGUAGCUUUUCAAGUCAUGCUUGUUAAAGAUAGUGCAUGUUAUAUGAAACUAAAACUUGAAAGGGAUAUGCAUUGUGAUACUAAAAAGAUACAUUGUAAAUCUAGCAUUUUUAUUUAACUAGUGUAUCUGUUUUACCAUGUAAAAUAUUGUUUAGUUUUGACUCUACACACAGCCCAAAAUCUGGGCAUCCAAAGAUUUUGUUUUACAAAAAAUAAACAUUUGUGUCCAUUUCAGACUCAAGUACAAUGGCUGUAAAGACAGCAAGAACC